RNAcentral lists this transfer RNA (103 nucleotides) under Sclerotinia sclerotiorum 1980 UF-70. RNAcentral describes it as "tRNA-His for anticodon GUG". It matches the Rfam family "tRNA". Rfam says of the family: Transfer RNA (tRNA) molecules are approximately 80 nucleotides in length. Lineage: Eukaryota; Fungi; Ascomycota; Leotiomycetes; Helotiales; Sclerotiniaceae. The record is from Rfam by way of RNAcentral.
GGUGGUGUGGUGUAAUGGUAGCACGUGACGUUGUGGCUCAUCUCUAACGGGAUAUAUCACGAAUGGAUCCGUUUCAAUCUGGGUUCGAUUCCCAGCACCGCCA